This 795-nucleotide ribosomal RNA is filed under the name Triticum aestivum (bread wheat). Its description in RNAcentral is "partial small subunit ribosomal RNA". Lineage: Eukaryota; Viridiplantae; Streptophyta; Magnoliopsida; Poales; Poaceae. The record is from RNAcentral.
AUGUACCACCCAUACGAAAACCAAAAUCAGACCAAAGGCACACUAGUGAGGAAGCAAAGCAGUGGUGCAACGUUUCACUUUAGUUCCCUAUAUCUAGAAGAAAUUACAAACCCGUACCCUGUCCGGCGCUAUCCCCCUCCGCCGUUGGCAGCGGCGGCGCCGUCCUCAGCGAGCGAGGCUCGGCAGUUGGGGCAGGAGGUGUGCGUGGCGAGCCACAUGUCGAUGCAGCGGACGUGGAAUCCGUGGUGGCACCGCGGGAGCACGCGCACCUUCUCGCCGUCGGCGAACUCGCCGAGGCAGAUGGCGCACUCCGUGGCCGUGGCCGGGAGGGCGCCGCCGGAAGACUUGGCCCCGCCAUACACCUCCACGGGUAUCUUCCUCAGCGCCUUCCUCUUGAGCCCCGCCUGCACGUGCACGGAUGUCGUCGUCCUCGCCGCGGUGGCGCUGGCCGCGAGGCUCGACGACGGCGCGAGCCGGCGGCCGCACUGGAGCACGCAGCGGAUGACGGAGUUGAGCCCGAGCGCGAAAAUGAGAACGCAGAGCAGCGCGGCGAGGAUGAUCACCAUGUUGGCGUCGAAGUUGGCGUUGCUCCCCGCAGCGGCCGGCGACGCCAAGGUGCCGCCCGCCGCCGCGGCCGCCGCGGGGGUGACGAGCGGCGUGGCCUCCCCUGCGUCGCUGAGCCGCCGCAUGGUGUGCCUGCGUACCAGCCGAGCUUGCGAGCUGCUGAUGGACGUGUGUGUGGUGGUUUCAGGAAGAAAUCAAGAGAGUGUUUUGGUUCGGGAUAUGAUCGAGUAG